Molecule: ribosomal RNA, 836 nt
Filed under: uncultured bacterium
Lineage: Bacteria
Description: bacterial SSU rRNA
Rfam family: Bacterial small subunit ribosomal RNA
Source: RNAcentral
GGAUGAACGCUAGCGGCAGGCUUAAUACAUGCAAGUCGAGGGGGAUUAUUUUUGUAGCAAUACAGAGAUAUGAGACCGGCAAACGGGUGCGGAACACGUACGCAACCUUCCCAAAACUGGUGAAUAGCCCUCCGAAAGGAGGAUUAAUACACCGUAACAUAAUCAAGUGGCAUCACUUUAUUAUUAUAGCUCCGGCGGUUUUGGAUGGGCGUGCGCCUGAUUAGGUAGUUGGCGGGGUAACGGCCCACCAAGCCUGCGAUCAGUAACUGGUGUGAGAGCACGACCAGUCACACGGGCACUGAGACACGGGCCCGACUCCUACGGGAGGCAGCAGUAAGAAAUAUUGGUCAAUGGACGAAAGUCUGAACCAGCCAUGCCGCGUGAAGGAUGAAGGCCCUCUGGGUUGUAAACUUCUUUUAUCUGGGACGAAAAAAGGUCAUUCAUGACCACUUGACGGUACCAGAGGAAUAAGCACCGGCUAACUCCGUGCCAGCAGCCGCGGUAAUACGGAGGGUGCAAGCGUUAUCCGGAUUCACUGGGUUUAAAGGGAGCGUAGGUGGGCAGGUAAGUCAGUGGUGAAAUCUCUGGGCUUAACCCGGAAACUGCCAUUGAUACUAUCUGUCUUGAAUUAUCUGGAGGUAAGCGGAAUAUGUCAUGUAGCGGUGAAAUGCUUAGAUAUGACAUAGAACACCCAUUGCGAAGGCAGCUUACUACGGAUAUAUUGACACUGAGGCUCGAAAGCGUGGGGAUCAAACAGGAUUAGAUACCCUGGUAGUCCACGCCCUAAACGAUGGAUACUCGACAUCAGCGAUACACUGUUGGUGUCUGAGCGAAAG